UUAGGCGUAGCUCAAUGGGUAGAGCAGCUGACUUUUAAUCAGCAGGUCAAAGGUUCAAAUCCUUUCGCCGGCACCA
Molecule: transfer RNA, 76 nt
Filed under: Paenibacillus thalictri
Lineage: Bacteria; Bacillati; Bacillota; Bacilli; Caryophanales; Paenibacillaceae
Description: Paenibacillus sp. N2SHLJ1 tRNA-Lys
Rfam family: tRNA (bases 4-69)
About the family: Transfer RNA (tRNA) molecules are approximately 80 nucleotides in length. Their secondary structure includes four short double-helical elements and three loops (D, anti-codon, and T loops).
Source: RNAcentral